CCCCGUCCUCACAGCAAAAGGAGGGGAACGCGCCAGGCCGCGCCUACGGCACCCAGCGAGCACAACGAGCCCGCGGCCCGUGGACACCCAGGGAGUGGAGCGGGACUAGGGCCCCCGGCGUUCAGCAGGCAGAGCAAGAACUAAGUGGUGAAAUGUGGAGCUUUACAAAGAUGAAGGCAACAGACUAUACAUUGAAGACCUAAAAUGUGGUGCCAUACUUGAGACUCUGGGAUCUGACUUGAGAAACACUGACAUUCACAGUUGAGGUGAAUGAUGAACACACACAUUAAAUGUAUGGAGUCCCCUUCCAAAAGCUGACUUGCUUCUUCUCAUUAAUCCCACCAGUCAAGGAUACAUAACUGUGGCUGCUUCUAUCUAUAGUCUAGCAAUGAGACUAGAUCUUUACCUCUGCAUUUAGUAGUGAAAUAGAUUUAUCGUAGUUCCAUUAAGUGAAGUGCAUAUCCUUUUUCACAUCUGCUAAAACUUCCAGCUUAAUACUGAAAUUGUUGAUGUACUGUGACCUAUCAAACUAUCCUACUGUGGGUAAGUACUUCUAAUUACUGAUAUUUUCAUUCCUUUGUGAACGGAGCAACUUUCCAUGUUGUCUGUUAAUUUUUAACUUUUAAAUCUUUCCAUUAAGUGAUCAAUAAAAAUAGCUGGUUACACUCAGGUAUGCAUAAAACUUCUUAACAUUAUUUAGAUAUUUGUUGGAUUAGCUGUCAGUAAAUCUUAUUGUGUAACUCUGGAGGUAAUAAUUCUUGGGCAGCUAAAAGUUUAAACAUACUCUCCUAUACACCUCAUACUGAUUACUGUUCAGAUGAAAGAAGACUCACUAACCAUUAAGCAUAUUACUAUACUUGGGACCAAAUGCAGCAGCCUUGUGUAAUGGAAUAAUGUUGCAAUCCUU
Dermochelys coriacea (leatherback sea turtle) is the source of this 907-nucleotide long non-coding RNA. RefSeq lists it as uncharacterized. The transcript is spliced from 3 exons. Lineage: Eukaryota; Metazoa; Chordata; Testudines; Dermochelyidae. The record is from RefSeq and is a predicted model, not a curated record.